This 253-nucleotide ribosomal RNA is filed under the name uncultured bacterium. Its description in RNAcentral is "partial 16S ribosomal RNA". It matches the Rfam family "Bacterial small subunit ribosomal RNA", at positions 524 to 776 of the family's 1533-position model. The record is from RNAcentral.
UACGGGGGGGGCAAGCGUUGUUCGGAAUUACUGGGCGUAAAGGGCUCGUAGGUGGCCAACUAAGUCAGACGUGAAAUCCCUCGGCUUAACCGGGGAACUGCGUCUGAUACUGGAUGGCUUGAGUUCGGGAGAGGGAUGCGGAAUUCCAGGUGUAGCGGUGAAAUGCGUAGAUAUCUGGAGGAACACCUGUGGCGAAAGCGGCGCACUGGACCACAACUGACGCUGAGGCGCGAAAGCUAGGGGAGCAAACAGG